GACGAACGCUGGCGGCGUGCUUAACACAUGCAAGUCGAACGGAAAGGCCCUGCUUUUGUGGGGUGCUCGAGUGGCGAACGGGUGAGUAACACGUGAGUAACCUGCCCUUGACUUUGGGAUAACUUCAGGAAACUGGGGCUAAUACCGGAUAGGAGCUCCUGCUGCAUGGUGGGGGUUGGAAAGUUUCGGCGGUUGGGGAUGGACUCGCGGCUUAUCAGCUUGUUGGUGGGGUAGUGGCUUACCAAGGCUUUGACGGGUAGCCGGCCUGAGAGGGUGACCGGCCACAUUGGGACUGAGAUACGGCCCAGACUCCUACGGGAGGCAGGAGUGGGGAAUAUUGCACAAGGGGCGGAAGCCUGAUGCAGCAACGCCGCGUGCGGGAGGACGGCCUUCGGGUUGGAAACCGCUUUCGCCUGUGACGAAGCGUGAGUGACGGUAAUGGGUAAAGAAGCACCGGCUAACUACGU
This 467-nucleotide ribosomal RNA is filed under the name uncultured bacterium. RNAcentral describes it as "partial 16S ribosomal RNA". It matches the Rfam family "Bacterial small subunit ribosomal RNA", at positions 28 to 506 of the family's 1533-position model. The record is from RNAcentral.